RNAcentral lists this ribosomal RNA (253 nucleotides) under uncultured bacterium. RNAcentral's name for it is "partial 16S ribosomal RNA". It matches the Rfam family "Bacterial small subunit ribosomal RNA", at positions 524 to 776 of the family's 1533-position model. The record is from RNAcentral.
UACGGGGGGGGCAAGCGUUGUUCGGAAUUACUGGGCGUAAAGGGUGCGUAGGCGGCUCUCUAAGUCGGAUGUGAAAACUCUGGGCUCAACCCAGAGCCUGCAUCUGAAACUGGAGGGCUAGGGUGCUGGAGGGGAAAGCGGAAUUCCUGGUGUAGCGGUGAAAUGCGUAGAUAUCAGGAGGAACACCGGUGGCGAAGGCGGCUUUCUGGACAGUAACCGACGCUGAGGCACGAAAGCUAGGGGAGCAAACAGG